UUUAUGGAGAGUUUGAUCCUGGCUCAGGAUGAACGCUGGCGGCGUGCCUAAUACAUGCAAGUCGAGCGAACGGACGAGAAGCUUGCUUCUCUGAUGUUAGCGGCGGACGGGUGAGUAACACGUGGAUAACCUACCUAUAAGACUGGGAUAACUUCGGGAAACCGGAGCUAAUACCGGAUAAUAUUUUGAACCGCAUGGUUCAAAAGUGAAAGACGGUCUUGCUGUCACUUAUAGAUGGAUCCGCGCUGCAUUAGCUAGUUGGUAAGGUAACGGCUUACCAAGGCAACGAUGCAUAGCCGACCUGAGAGGGUGAUCGGCCACACUGGAACUGAGACACGGUCCAGACUCCUACGGGAGGCAGCAGUAGGGAAUCUUCCGCAAUGGGCGAAAGCCUGACGGAGCAACGCCGCGUGAGUGAUGAAGGUCUUCGGAUCGUAAAACUCUGUUAUUAGGGAAGAACAUAUGUGUAAGUAACUGUGCACAUCUUGACGGUACCUAAUCAGAAAGCCACGGCUAACUACGUGCCAGCAGCCGCGGUAAUACGUAGGUGGCAAGCGUUAUCCGGAAUUAUUGGGCGUAAAGCGCGCGUAGGCGGUUUUUUAAGUCUGAUGUGAAAGCCCACGGCUCAACCGUGGAGGGUCAUUGGAAACUGGAAAACUUGAGUGCAGAAGAGGAAAGUGGAAUUCCAUGUGUAGCGGUGAAAUGCGCAGAGAUAUGGAGGAACACCAGUGGCGAAGGCGACUUUCUGGUCUGUAACUGACGCUGAUGUGCGAAAGCGUGGGGAUCAAACAGGAUUAGAUACCCUGGUAGUCCACGCCGUAAACGAUGAGUGCUAAGUGUUAGGGGGUUUCCGCCCCUUAGUGCUGCAGCUAACGCAUUAAGCACUCCGCCUGGGGAGUACGACCGCAAGGUUGAAACUCAAAGGAAUUGACGGGGACCCGCACAAGCGGUGGAGCAUGUGGUUUAAUUCGAAGCAACGCGAAGAACCUUACCAAAUCUUGACAUCCUUUGACAACUCUAGAGAUAGAGCCUUCCCCUUCGGGGGACAAAGUGACAGGUGGUGCAUGGUUGUCGUCAGCUCGUGUCGUGAGAUGUUGGGUUAAGUCCCGCAACGAGCGCAACCCUUAAGCUUAGUUGCCAUCAUUAAGUUGGGCACUCUAAGUUGACUGCCGGUGACAAACCGGAGGAAGGUGGGGAUGACGUCAAAUCAUCAUGCCCCUUAUGAUUUGGGCUACACACGUGCUACAAUGGACAAUACAAAGGGCAGCGAAACCGCGAGGUCAAGCAAAUCCCAUAAAGUUGUUCUCAGUUCGGAUUGUAGUCUGCAACUCGACUACAUGAAGCUGGAAUCGCUAGUAAUCGUAGAUCAGCAUGCUACGGUGAAUACGUUCUCGGGUCUUGUACACACCGCCCGUCACACCACGAGAGUUUGUAACACCCGAAGCCGGUGGAGUAACCUUUUAGGAGCUAGCCGUCGAAGGUGGGACAAAUGAUUGGGGUGAAGUCGUAACAAGGUAGCCGUAUCGGAAGGUGCGGCUGGAUCACCUCCUUU
Molecule: ribosomal RNA, 1552 nt
Filed under: Staphylococcus aureus
Lineage: Bacteria; Bacillati; Bacillota; Bacilli; Caryophanales; Staphylococcaceae
Description: 16S ribosomal RNA
Rfam family: Bacterial small subunit ribosomal RNA
Source: RNAcentral